RNAcentral lists this long non-coding RNA (1198 nucleotides) under Oreochromis niloticus (Nile tilapia). RNAcentral describes it as "lncRNA (ENSONIG00000028538.1)". Lineage: Eukaryota; Metazoa; Chordata; Actinopteri; Cichliformes; Cichlidae. The record is from RNAcentral.
AUGGACAGCUGGCUCUCACUCAGGUUAAAUAAUUUAACAUUUAGGCCUAAAUGUAACUCUUCUUUUCUACCGGAAAAAAAAAACCCUAUGCAAGAGAGAUUCCGAUUUUGGGGCUAUGCCUUCAGCCUAAGAGAGAGCAAAAUCUUUUUCUACCAGCUAAAAGGAGGUGAAAGUUUUGGUCCCCUCACACCGCGGAUCGCCUUUACUUUGUCUAAUCGGGGUGUUUUGAGCCUCAUCGCUACGCCCGAAGUGCAGAAGAGCCUGCGGGAAACGAGCUCGCAACAACCGAGAACCAGGGAUCAACAACAACUCGCGUCGCUUUCCCUAUGUGCAUAUCACUCGACUCUCAUUUAAGCCAGAUGUGUUAACCUGAUCCCUGCGAAACACCAGCUCUCCGUGGAUUUUGACCGCGAGUGACCGGAUGUUGUUUCCGGCCUGAGGUUGCCUGAAAUGCCGUGAGGCUCGUUUGAAAGAUUGCGCCCGAGACCAUAUUUUUUAUGAACCACCAAAAAGAGACAUUUUACCCCCUAGUACAGAAGACUGGAUCUGAGGGCAGCAGCGGGGACAAAUGAUUGUAAUGAAGCGACGGACAUUUCAUGGCUGGUCUUAGAUAAUCGUGAGUCAUUGUGUCUUAUGGUGAGUAGUUUUGCAAGAGGCAUGCAAGCACUGUAGAAAAAGUAAUCAUAAAACUGUUUUUGUGAACACUCUGCUCCCUACGUUAUGCUUUAAAAAAUGUGAUACAUGUAAUGUGAUCAUCAAAGAACAUGACUUUUUUAAAACUUUUAUUCUUAUGCUUUUAAACUAUGUCACAUUAUCAUAAAAUACUUAUUUGUAUGUUAUAAUGUUUUUCUUACACCAUGUGUAAUUUUUAUAGACACCUUGUUCAUUGUAUCAAUGUGUAAUUAUGUAUCUUUGAUAAAUAAAUAAAAUAUUUAAUCUUGUGUUUGUGUACUUUCUGGUGAUUCAAUAAAAAAUUAGUCACAUAUCGCUCUGAUAAACACAGAUGGCUGAAAGAAAUGUUUGAUGGAACAAAGGAAACAAGUGUCUUGCUGCUAAACUUUUAAGUCACCAUGGUUUAAAUGAGAAAAUGCCACUAGGAAACUAGAAGCCCUAAGUCUUUAUGUAAAACAUGAAAAACUCCAUAUCAGUGAUAUCUACAAAGGUGUACUCAUUUCUUUGUUAUGGUACUUUACUGUUC